AUUGAGCCGAUUUUCUGUGUCCACCAUAGUAUGGACAUUCAGAGAAGAGAACAGAAUUGCAAGGCUGCCACAUGCAGGUGGAAGGACAGCUAUAUUCACUCGGGAGCAAGAGGCCGUUAUAGUUGGCAUGGUCCUUCAAGAUAAUGCAAUAAGACUCAGAGAAAUCCAGGAACGAGUGAUACAAGACAACACACACUUCCAGGGAAUCGACAGUGUGAGCAUUUCCACAAUUGACCGUGUCCUCCAUCGUAAUAGGAUGCGAAUGAAACAAGUAUACAGAG
This 281-nucleotide long non-coding RNA is filed under the name Salmo salar (Atlantic salmon). Its description in RNAcentral is "lncRNA (ENSSSAG00000122037.1)". The record is from RNAcentral. Lineage: Eukaryota; Metazoa; Chordata; Actinopteri; Salmoniformes; Salmonidae.